Molecule: long non-coding RNA, 308 nt
Organism: Mastomys coucha (southern multimammate mouse)
Lineage: Eukaryota; Metazoa; Chordata; Mammalia; Rodentia; Muridae
Exons: 2
Source: RefSeq, a predicted model, not a curated record
AGAUCAAGAAGAAUCUGGUCGCUUUCCACAGUUCUCCCUGGGCCUCACAGACUCUCCCACAAACCAUAGCAGAGGAUAGACAUUCAAAACCUAAGAGAAGGGGAUGAGGAAGCAGAGACACCGGAAGAGAAGCAACUAGUUCAACAUGGCGGAGAGAGGCUGCUUGACCCACUUUCUAGGGUACCUAGCAACCUGUCCUUCUUUGACAGCAGUGACCACACCCAGAGAACUUGAAAAUGAAUUUGACUGUCUGCUUGCCCGUGCCUCCUGAACCAGUCUUCAAAUAAAAAACAAAAGAAUCUCCAUCU